Molecule: non-coding RNA, 21 nt
Filed under: Arabidopsis thaliana (thale cress)
Lineage: Eukaryota; Viridiplantae; Streptophyta; Magnoliopsida; Brassicales; Brassicaceae
Source: RNAcentral
AGGAGGUAGCUGGAUCGCUGA